AUCCAGCUGACAAGUCCCAGAUAGGACAAAACGCGUGUACUGGAU
RNAcentral lists this non-coding RNA (45 nucleotides) under Schistosoma haematobium. The record is from RNAcentral. Lineage: Eukaryota; Metazoa; Platyhelminthes; Trematoda; Strigeidida; Schistosomatidae.